GCGGAAGGAUCAUUAUUGAGAUCAUGCCCUCACGGGUAGACCUCCACCCCUCUGAAAUUCUUAUCUCUUGUUGCUUUGGCGGGCCGCUUUUCUGCCCUGGGGUUGCCCAGGUGUGCCCGCCAGAGACCCUACCAACUCUGUGUUUAUGUGUCGUCUGAGUACUAUAUAAUAGUUAAAACUUUCAACAACGGAUCUCUUGGCUCUGGCAUCGAUGAAGAACGCAGCGAAAUGCGAUAAGUAAUGCGAAUUGCAGAAUUCAGUGAAUCAUCGAAUCUUUGAACGCACAUUGCGCCCCUUGGUAUUCCGAGGGGCAUGCCUGUCCGAGCGUCAUUAACACCACUCAAGCCUGGCUUGGUACUGGGGCUCGCACACCAGCGUCCCUUAAAUUCAGUGGCGGUGCCGGGUGGCUCUUCGCGUAGUAAUGCUCUCGCGAUAGGGUCCUCUGGUGGCUUGCCAGUAACCUCAAUUUCUUAAGGUUGACCUCGGAUCAGGUAGGGAUACCCGCUGAACUUAAGCAUAUCAAUAAGCGGAGGAAAAGAAACCAACAGGGAUUGCCCCAGUAACG
Molecule: ribosomal RNA, 565 nt
Filed under: uncultured fungus
Lineage: Eukaryota; Fungi
Description: eukaryotic LSU rRNA
Rfam family: 5.8S ribosomal RNA (bases 177-330)
Source: RNAcentral